This 253-nucleotide ribosomal RNA is filed under the name uncultured bacterium. RNAcentral describes it as "partial 16S ribosomal RNA". It matches the Rfam family "Bacterial small subunit ribosomal RNA", at positions 524 to 776 of the family's 1533-position model. The record is from RNAcentral.
UACGGCGGGUGCAAGCGUUAUCCGGCUUCACUGGGCUUACAGGGUGCGUAGGUGGAUUGGAAAGUCAGUGGUGAAAUCUCCGGGCUUAACCCGGAAACUGCCAUUGAUACUAUCAAUCUUGAAUACCGUGGAGGUCAGCGGAAUAUGUCAUGUAGCGGUGAAAUGCAUAGAUAUGACAUAGAACAACAAUUGCGAAGGCAGCUGGCUAGACGAAUAUUGACACUGAGGCACGAAAGCGUGGGGAUCAAACAGG